CCUACGGGAGGCAGCAGUAGGGAAUCUUCCACAAUGGGCGAAAGCCUGAUGGAGCAACGCCGCGUGGGUGAAGAAGGUCUUCGGAUCGUAAAACCCUGUUGUUAGAGAAGAAAGUGCGUGAGAGUAACUGUUCACGUUUCGACGGUAUCUAACCAGAAAGCCACGGCUAACUACGUGCCAGCAGCCGCGGUAAUACGUAGGUGGCAAGCGUUAUCCGGAUUGAUUGGGCGUAAAGGGAACGCAGGCGGUCUUUUAAGUCUGAUGUGAAAGCCUUCGGCUUAACCGGAGUAGUGCAUUGGAAACUGGGAGACUUGAGUGCAGAAGAGGAGAGUGGAACUCCAGGUGUAGCGGUGAAAUGCGUAGAUAUAUGGAAGAACACCAGUGGCGAAAGCGGCUCUCUGGUCUGUAACUGACGCUGAGGUUCGAAAGCGUGGGUAGCAAACAGGAUUAGAUACCCUGGUAGUC
This 465-nucleotide ribosomal RNA is filed under the name uncultured bacterium. RNAcentral describes it as "partial 16S ribosomal RNA". It matches the Rfam family "Bacterial small subunit ribosomal RNA", at positions 338 to 795 of the family's 1533-position model. The record is from RNAcentral.